This 357-nucleotide unclassified non-coding RNA is filed under the name uncultured Glomeraceae. RNAcentral describes it as "sequence contains ITS1". The stretch from base 1 to 104 matches the Rfam family "5.8S ribosomal RNA", at positions 50 to 154 of the family's 154-position model. Lineage: Eukaryota; Fungi; Glomeromycota; Glomeromycetes; Glomerales; Glomeraceae. The record is from RNAcentral.
AAACUGCGAUAAGUAGUGUGAAUUGCAGAAUCCGCGAAUCAUCAAAUUCUUUAACGCAAAUGGCACUUCUCGGUUCUCCGAGAAGUAUGUCUGUUUCAGCAUCAGUAAAACCUAAACUCAACGCGUUGUGCGUGUUGGAGAUGAGGGUCAUGCUUCUGCUAAGGGAGUAUGUCCUUUGAAAGAUAGAGACGUGCGCAACUGGCUUCCCGGUUCAAUGCGCUCUCAGUGUUGGUAGAAAAAACUUUUUUUGCGUGCGCUGAGAGUUGAUCUAGGCGGAGUCGUUGUGAGUGACACGGCGAAAUAGCUAAAUUCUCAAACUCUGAUCUGAAAUCAGGCAAGGCUACCCGCUGAAUUUAA